AACGGCCUCACACUUUAAGAUAUUUCCUUUUUAAGUAUGAUAUCUCGGUUUGUAGUGAAUUCAAUAUUUUUUGUGGUUUUUGAACCCAAUUCCUGCUAUGGAGAUAAAUGUAGGCUACUCUGACUCCAACGAUUAAUCCAUAUAGUUCCUACUAGCAAAUCUGUCUAGUAUAUGAAUUCUAUCUCAAUACCACUCGAUCUCUAGAAUCCAUUCACUGCUUUAACUUAGGGCCAUAAUGCAAGCUUAAUCUCACUUACCCCGCGGCAGAGCUUAUAUGAC
Arabidopsis thaliana (thale cress) is the source of this 279-nucleotide long non-coding RNA. RefSeq annotates it as other RNA. The transcript has a single exon. The record is from RefSeq. NCBI's taxonomy places the organism in Eukaryota, Viridiplantae, Streptophyta, Magnoliopsida, Brassicales, Brassicaceae.